AGGGUUUGAUCCUGGCUCAGAACGAACGCUGGCGGCGUGGAUAAGGCAUGCAAGUCGCGCGAAGACUAACUUCACGGUUGGUACUGAGCGGCGAAAGGGUGAGUAAUGCAUGAAUAACCUACCCUUGACCCGGGGAUAACUGCUAGAAAUGGUAGCUAAUACCGGAUGUGGCAGCUUAAACAUAAGUUUUUGUUGUUAAAGGUGGCUUCGGCUAUUGGUCAAGGAGGGAUUCAUGUCCUAUUAGCUUGUUGGUGAGGUAAUGGCUCACCAAGGCUGUGAUGGGUAGCCGGGCUGAGAGGUUGGCCGGCCACACUGGGACUGAGACACUGCCCAGACUCCUAUGGGAGGCUGCAGUCGAGAAUCUUCCGCAAUGGGCGAAAGCCUGACGGAGCGACGCCGCGUGCAGGAUGAAGGCCCUCGGGUUGUAAACUGCUGUCGUCUGUUAGCAAAGGGAUAGAAGUUAAUACCUUUUAUCUUUGAGAAAAGCAGAAAAGGAAGCCACGGCUAAUUACGUGCCAGCAGCCGCGGUAAUACGUAGGUGGCAAGCGUUGUUCGGAAUCACUGGGCGUAAAGGGCCCGUAGGCUGUUUGGUUAGUCAGAUGUGAAAUCCCCGAGCUCAACUUGGGAACUGCGUCUGAAACUACCAGACUUGAGGAUCGGAGGGGAGUGUGGAAUUCCUGGUGGAGCGGUGAAAUGCGUAGAGAUCAGGAGGAACGCCGGUGGCGAAAGCGACACUCUGGACGAUACCUGACGCUGAGGGGCGAAAGCUAGGGGAGCAAACGGGAUUAGAUACCCCGGUAGUCCUAGCCGUAAACGAUGGGCACUAAGUAGAGGUUGUAUCCGAUGCACUCUCUGCUGUAGCUAAUGUGUUAAGUGCCCCGCCUGGGGAGUACGGCCGCAAGGUUAAAACUCAAAGGAAUUGACGGGGGCUCACACAAGCGGUGGAGCAUGUUGCUUAAUUCGAAACAACGCGAAGAACCUUACCUGGGCUUGACAUACUGGUUUACCAAAUCGAAAGAGGCGGGUCCCUAGGACAAGGAGCAACGUGUUGCAUGGCUGUCGUCAGCUCGUGUCGUGAGAUGUUGGGUUAAGUCCCGUAACGAGCGAAACCCUUGUCCUAGUUACCAGCGGGUAAAGCCGGGGACUCUAAGGAGACUGCUGGUGUCAAACCGGAGGAAGGUGGGGAUGACGUCAAGUCAUCAUGGCCCUUACGUCCAGGGCUGCAAACGUGCUACAAUGGCCGGUACAAAGGGCAGCAAGACCGAGAGGUGGAGCGAAUCCCAAAAAGCCGGCCCCAGUUCGGAUUGGAGGCUGCAAUUUGCCUCCAUGAAGCCGGAAUCGCUAGUAAUCGGAGGUCAGCAAUACUCCGGUGAAUAUGUUCCUGAGCCUUGUACACACCGCCCGUCAAGCCACGAGAGCCGGUACUGCCCGAAGUCGCUGACCCAAAAAAGGGAGGCGCCUACGGUAAGAUCGGUGAUUGGGACUAAGUCGUAACAAGGUA
Molecule: ribosomal RNA, 1501 nt
Filed under: metagenome
Description: bacterial SSU rRNA
Rfam family: Bacterial small subunit ribosomal RNA
Source: RNAcentral